GAUGAACGCUGGCGGCGUGCUUAACACAUGCAAGUCGAACGGUGAACACGGAGCUUGCUCUGUGGGAUCAGUGGCGAACGGGUGAGUAACACGUGAGCAACCUGCCCCUGACUCUGGGAUAAGCGCUGGAAACGGCGUCUAAUACUGGAUAUGUGACGUGACCGCAUGGUCUGCGUUUGGAAAGAUUUUUCGGUUGGGGAUGGGCUCGCGGCGUAUCAGCUUGUUGGUGAGGUAAUGGCUCACCAAGGCGUCGACGGGUAGCCGGCCUGAGAGGGUGACCGGCCACACUGGGACUGAGACACGGCCCAGACUCCUACGGGAGGCAGCAGUGGGGAAUAUUGCACAAUGGGCGCAAGCCUGAUGCAGCAACGCCGCGUGAGGGAUGACGGCCUUCGGGUUGUAAACCUCUUUUAGCAGGGAAGAAGCGAAAGUGACGGUACCUGCAGAAAAAGCGCCGGCUAACUACGUG
Molecule: ribosomal RNA, 469 nt
Filed under: uncultured bacterium
Lineage: Bacteria
Description: partial 16S ribosomal RNA
Rfam family: Bacterial small subunit ribosomal RNA
Source: RNAcentral